RNAcentral lists this long non-coding RNA (385 nucleotides) under Canis lupus familiaris (dog). Its description in RNAcentral is "lncRNA (ENSCAFG00000054083.1)". The record is from RNAcentral. Lineage: Eukaryota; Metazoa; Chordata; Mammalia; Carnivora; Canidae.
AUGAGAGAAAAGAGAAGGAAAGAAAAGAGGGAAAUAAAAAGGAAGGUAGAAGAGAUGAAGGCAAAGAAUCAUAGAGCUGACUUUUCAGGUGCCGCAAAACCACCACCAGGACCGCAGAACCAAAAAGGUGGACAAAUUUGCUUCAGGAUGUCAAUAAAGCUGCCCUUAAUGAUGGGCUUCAGGCUGACUGCAAUGGACUGUGUGCAGCACACCUGGAUAUCGUGUGAAUCUGUUACUGCUACAGCUGUGAAACUCUUCUGACAAAGGAUCCAAUGCUUCUUCUCUACUGGAAACUGUUUCUGGCAGCAUGUACGUGGUAAGUCUUGCACAGCUAGAGAUUCUUCAUAAAUGAUUCCAAGACCGUUUUUUUUUUUUUCAAAAGGGG